UACGUAGGGUCCAAGCGUUAUCCGGAAUUACUGGGCGUAAAGCGUGCGUAGGUGGUGAGUUAAGUCUGUCGUGAAAGCCCCGGGCUCAACCUGGGAAUGGCGAUGGAUACUGGCUCGCUAGAGUGCGGUAGAGGAGAGUGGAAUUCCUGGUGUAGCGGUGGAAUGCGCAGAUAUCAGGAGGAACACCGGUGGCGAAGGCGGGUCUCUGGGCAGUAACUGACGCUGAGGAGCGAAAGCGUGGGGAGCGAACAGG
Molecule: ribosomal RNA, 253 nt
Filed under: uncultured bacterium
Lineage: Bacteria
Description: partial 16S ribosomal RNA
Rfam family: Bacterial small subunit ribosomal RNA
Source: RNAcentral